GCCCUGGAUAGCUCAGUGAGUUAGAGCCCGGUGCUGGUCACGCCAAGGUUGCAGGUUCAAGCCCCGUAUGAGACA
Podarcis lilfordi (Lilford's wall lizard) is the source of this 75-nucleotide non-coding RNA. NCBI's taxonomy places the organism in Eukaryota, Metazoa, Chordata, Lepidosauria, Squamata, Lacertidae. The record is from the annotation of a GenBank genome assembly.